This 341-nucleotide unclassified non-coding RNA is filed under the name soil metagenome. RNAcentral describes it as "partial contains 5.8S ribosomal RNA, internal transcribed spacer 2, and large subunit ribosomal RNA". The stretch from base 1 to 120 matches the Rfam family "5.8S ribosomal RNA", at positions 35 to 154 of the family's 154-position model. The record is from RNAcentral.
GAUGAAGAACGUAGCGAAAUGCGAUAAGUAGUGUGAAUUGCAGAAUUCAGUGAAUCAUCGAAUCUUUGAACGCACAUUGCGCCCCUUGGUAUCCCGAGGGGCAUGCCUGUUCGAGCGUCAUUUGUACCCUCAAGCUUUGCUUGGUGUUGGGCGUCUUGUCUCUAGCUUUGCUGGAGACUCGCCUUAAAGUAAUUGGCAGCCGGCCUACUGGUUUCGGAGCGCAGCACAAGUCGCACUCUCUAUCAGCAAAGGUCUAGCAUCCAUUAAGCCUUUUUUUCAACUUUUGACCUCGGAUCAGGUAGGGAUACCCGCUGAACUUAAGCAUAUCAAUAAGCGGAGGA